UUUGCUGGCUCUGCCUGCCGCUGACCCGGAGGAGGAGGAGCCAGGAGGGAAGAGCGCGCGGCCGCCGGUGAUGGACGCCGGAGGAGGGGUGCAGGCGCAGGGGGUCAACCCGGACUGCCCCAACGCCGCCAACCCCUUCCACCGCUGCGCCGAGUACUGCCCCGUCCCGGCCCCGAGGGCCGCGCCCAAGCCGUCCCCGCCUCGUCCCCGGCCGGCGCAGAACGGGACCAGGAACGGGGACGGCGGGAAGCGGGUUGUCCCCGCUGCCGCCGCCGACGGCUCGGAGGAGGAGCGGGCGGUGAACCCGGACUGCCCCAACGCAUCCAACCGCUUCCACACCUGCGCGGAGUACUGCCCCGUCCCGCCCCCACGAGCGGCGGCCAAGUCGCCACCGC
Molecule: long non-coding RNA, 395 nt
Filed under: Setaria italica (foxtail millet)
Lineage: Eukaryota; Viridiplantae; Streptophyta; Magnoliopsida; Poales; Poaceae
Description: long non-coding RNA (SITA_LNC003328)
Source: RNAcentral